AUAUCAAUAAGCGGAGGAAAAGAAACUAACAAGGAUUCCCCUAGUAACUGCGAGUGAAGCGGGAUGAGCUCAAAUUUGUAAUCUGGCGCAAGCCCGAGUUGUAAUCUAGAGAAGCGUUUUCGGCCGUUGCCUCGGAAAAGUCCCUUGGAACAGGGUGUCAUAGAGGGUGAGAAUCCCGUCUUUGCCGAGCUCCCAACGUCUAUGUGAUACGCUCUCGACGAGUCGAGUUGUUUGGGAAUGCAGCUCAAAAUGGGUGGUAAAUUCCAUCUAAAGCUAAAUAUUGGCGAGAGACCGAU
RNAcentral lists this ribosomal RNA (296 nucleotides) under uncultured Dacrymycetes. RNAcentral's name for it is "partial 28S ribosomal RNA". It matches the Rfam family "Eukaryotic large subunit ribosomal RNA", at positions 40 to 338 of the family's 3401-position model. Lineage: Eukaryota; Fungi; Basidiomycota; Dacrymycetes. The record is from RNAcentral.